This 1083-nucleotide ribosomal RNA is filed under the name Lederbergia lenta. RNAcentral's name for it is "bacterial SSU rRNA". It matches the Rfam family "Bacterial small subunit ribosomal RNA", at positions 37 to 1100 of the family's 1533-position model. Lineage: Bacteria; Bacillati; Bacillota; Bacilli; Caryophanales; Bacillaceae. The record is from RNAcentral.
UGGCGGCGUGCCUAAUACAUGCAAGUCGAGCGAAUGGAUGGGAGCUUGCUCCCGGAAGUUAGCGGCGGACGGGUGAGUAACACGUGGGCAACCUACCUGUAAGACUGGGAUAACUUCGGGAAACCGGAGCUAAUACCGGAUAACUUCUUUCUUCUCCUGGAGAAAGGUUGAAAGACGGCUUCGGCUGUCACUUACAGAUGGGCCCGCGGCGCAUUAGCUAGUUGGUGAGGUAACGGCUCACCAAGGCAACGAUGCGUAGCCGACCUGAGAGGGUGAUCGGCCACACUGGGACUGAGACACGGCCCAGACUCCUACGGGAGGCAGCAGUAGGGAAUCUUCCGCAAUGGACGAAAGUCUGACGGAGCAACGCCGCGUGAGUGAUGAAGGUUUUCGGAUCGUAAAACUCUGUUAUCAGGGAAGAACAAGUAUCGGAGUAACUGCCGGUACCUUGACGGUACCUGACCAGAAAGCCACGGCUAACUACGUGCCAGCAGCCGCGGUAAUACGUAGGUGGCAAGCGUUGUCCGGAAUUAUUGGGCGUAAAGCGCGCGCAGGCGGUUUCUUAAGUCUGAUGUGAAAGCCCACGGCUCAACCGUGGAAGGUCAUUGGAAACUGGGAGACUUGAGUGCAGAAGAGAAGAGCGGAAUUCCACGUGUAGCGGUGAAAUGCGUAGAGAUGUGGAGGAACACCAGUGGCGAAGGCGGCUCUUUGGUCUGUAACUGACGCUGAGGCGCGAAAGCGUGGGGAGCGAACAGGAUUAGAUACCCUGGUAGUCCACGCCGUAAACGAUGAGUGCUAAGUGUUAGAGGGUUUCCGCCCUUUAGUGCUGCAGUUAACGCAUUAAGCACUCCGCCUGGGGAGUACGGCCGCAAGGCUGAAACUCAAAGGAAUUGACGGGGGCCCGCACAAGCGGUGGAGCAUGUGGUUUAAUUCGAAGCAACGCGAAGAACCUUACCAGGUCUUGACAUCCUCUGACCACCCUAGAGAUAGGGACUUCCCCUUCGGGGGACAGAGUGACAGGUGGUGCAUGGUUGUCGUCAGCUCGUGUCGUGAGAUGUUGGGUUAAGUCCCGCAACGAGCGCA